GGUGGUGCAUGGUUGUCGUCAGCUCGUGUCGUGAGAUGUUGGGUUAAGUCCCGCAACGAGCGCAACCCUUAAGCUUAGUUGCCAUCAUUAAGUUGGGCACUCUAGGUUGACUGCCGGUGACAAACCGGAGGAAGGUGGGGAUGACGUCAAAUCAUCAUGCCCCUUAUGAUUUGGGCUACACACGUGCUACAAUGGACAAUACAAAGGGCAGCUAAACCGCGAGGUCAUGCAAAUCCCAUAAAGUUGUUCUCAGUUCGGAUUGUAGUCUGCAACUCGACUACAUGAAGCUGGAAUCGCUAGUAAUCGUAGAUCAGCAUGCUACGGUGAAUACGUUCCCGGGUCUUGUACACAC
Molecule: ribosomal RNA, 352 nt
Filed under: uncultured bacterium
Lineage: Bacteria
Description: bacterial SSU rRNA
Rfam family: Bacterial small subunit ribosomal RNA
Source: RNAcentral